GAUGAACGCUGGCGGCGUGCCUAAUACAUGCAAGUCGAGCGAACAGACGAGGAGCUUGCUCCUCUGACGUUAGCGGCGGACGGGUGAGUAACACGUGGAUAACCUACCUAUAAGACUGGGAUAACUUCGGGAAACCGGAGCUAAUACCGGAUAAUAUAUUGAACCGCAUGGUUCAAUAGUGAAAGACGGUUUUGCUGUCACUUAUAGAUGGAUCCGCGCCGCAUUAGCUAGUUGGUAAGGUAACGGCUUACCAAGGCAACGAUGCGUAGCCGACCUGAGAGGGUGAUCGGCCACACUGGAACUGAGACACGGUCCAGACUCCUACGGGAGGCAGCAGUAGGGAAUCUUCCGCAAUGGGCGAAAGCCUGACGGAGCAACGCCGCGUGAGUGAUGAAGGUCUUCGGAUCGUAAAACUCUGUUAUUAGGGAAGAACAAAUGUGUAAGUAACUAUGCGCGUCUUGACGGUACCUAAGCAGAAAGCCACGGCUAACUACGU
This 496-nucleotide ribosomal RNA is filed under the name uncultured bacterium. Its description in RNAcentral is "partial 16S ribosomal RNA". It matches the Rfam family "Bacterial small subunit ribosomal RNA", at positions 28 to 506 of the family's 1533-position model. The record is from RNAcentral.